GCAAUUCUGCUUUGUCAAAAGUAGAAUCAACAACAGAAGAGGCUGCCUUAGUGUGUUCGCUAUCCUCUGCUCCACUUGCACCUUCUUGACGACCACCGGGAGGAAUUGGAAUAGGAGAUGUAGGUGGCUUUAAAUCUUCAUAACUGCCAAGAUUAAAUCAGUCAGCAAAUAAGAUACACUAUGCUUGCGUGUAAGUAGUUGGAUUAACUCAGGAAUGACUUAACGCAGUGUAUGGAGACAAAGGCCUUGUAGUCAGCAAUUCUGCUUUGUCAAAAGUAGAAUCAACAACAGAAGAGGCUGCCUUAGUGUGUUCGCUGUCUUCUGCUCCAGUUGCACCUUCUUGACGACCACCGGGAGGAAUUGGACUAGGAGAUGUAGGUGGCUUUAAAUCUUCAUAACUGCCAAGAUUAAAUCAGUCAGCAAAUAAGAUACACUAUGCUUGCGUGUAAGUAGUUGAACUAACUCAGGAAUGACUUAACGCAGUGUAUGGAGACAAAGGCCUUGUAGUCAGCAAUUCUACUUUGUCAAAAGUAGAAUCAACAACAGAAGAAACUGCUUUAGUAGGUUCACCAUCUUCUGCUCCACUUGAACCUUCUUGACGACCUCCGGGAGGAUUUGGACUAGGAGAUGUAGGUGGCUUUAAAUCUUCAUAACUGCCAACAUUGAAUCAGUCAGCAAAUAAAAUACACUAUACUUGCGUGUAAGUAGUUGGACUAACUCAGGAAUGACUUAACGCAGCAUAUGGAGACGAAGGUCUUGUAGUCAGCAAUUCUGCUUUGUC
Molecule: long non-coding RNA, 781 nt
Filed under: Solanum lycopersicum (tomato)
Lineage: Eukaryota; Viridiplantae; Streptophyta; Magnoliopsida; Solanales; Solanaceae
Description: long non-coding RNA (SLYC_LNC000798)
Source: RNAcentral